This 204-nucleotide ribosomal RNA is filed under the name uncultured bacterium. RNAcentral's name for it is "partial 16S ribosomal RNA". It matches the Rfam family "Bacterial small subunit ribosomal RNA", at positions 794 to 996 of the family's 1533-position model. The record is from RNAcentral.
UCCUGGCAGUAAACGGUGCUCAUUAGAUGUAGGCGGAUUCGACCCCGCCUGUGUCGAACCUAACGGAUUAAAUGAGCCGCCUGGGAAGUACGGUCGCAAGAUUAAAACUCAAAGAAAUUGACGGGGGCCCGCACAAGCGGUGGAGUAUGUGGCUUAAUUCGAUGCAACGCGAAGAACCUUACCUGGCCUUGACAUGCUUAGUUC